This 451-nucleotide ribosomal RNA is filed under the name Melittobia australica. Its description in RNAcentral is "eukaryotic LSU rRNA". The record is from RNAcentral. Lineage: Eukaryota; Metazoa; Arthropoda; Insecta; Hymenoptera; Eulophidae.
AAACCGUUCAGGGGUAAACCUGAGAAACCCAAAAGAUCGAAUGGGGAGAUUCAGCGUCAGCGGCGUUGGCUUCCGUGCGGCUCGCGAUGGCCGGGACCUCGGUCCCGCGUCACGCGGUCGCCGCGGCAUGUCCGGCGUCGUCGACGUGCACUUCUCCCCUAGUAGGACGUCGCGACCCGUUGGGUGUCGGAUCAAUGGCCGGUCGGUCGUCUGUUGCGCCUCGGCGCGGCAGACCGAACGGUUCAACGUCCGGCUGCCCGGCGGUAUAGAACGCUUAAUCACGGUAAUGGGCCGCAACCCUCGAAUGCGUUCAGGCUCGUCGGCAGGCUCGUCUCGCUCGGAUUUACGGACCUAGCGCCGUUGCCGGGCGCUUGGCGCGGCUGUUAGUCGACGAUGUCCUCGGACUGGCUCUUACCGGUCUGCGACGCUACUGCUUUGGGUACUUUCAGGA